UCGGGAAUUUUGCACAAUGGCCGAAAGGCUGAUGCAGCAACGCCGCGUGAGCGAAGAAGGCCUUCGGGUUGUAAAGCUCUGUUGCCUGCGAAGAAGGGCCCUGUCAGGAAAUGGGCGGGGUUUGACGGUAGCAGGCGAGGAAGCCCCGGCAAACUACGUGCCAGCAGCCGCGGUAAUACGUAGGGGGCGAGCGUUGUCCGGAAUUACUGGGCGUAAAGGGCGUGUAGGCGGCCUGUUAAGUCAGGGGUGAAAGACCGGGGCUCAACCCAGGGGGUGCCUCUGAAACUGGCGGGCUUGAGUGCUCUAGAGGGCAGUGGAAUUCCCGGUGUAGCAGUGAAAUGCGUAGAGAUCGGGAGGAACACCAGUGGCGAAGGCGGCUGCCUGGGGAGUCACUGACGCUGAGGCGCGAAAGCUAGGGGAGCAAACAGG
RNAcentral lists this ribosomal RNA (429 nucleotides) under bacterium. Its description in RNAcentral is "partial 16S ribosomal RNA". It matches the Rfam family "Bacterial small subunit ribosomal RNA", at positions 355 to 776 of the family's 1533-position model. The record is from RNAcentral.